Molecule: ribosomal RNA, 379 nt
Filed under: uncultured bacterium
Lineage: Bacteria
Description: bacterial SSU rRNA
Rfam family: Bacterial small subunit ribosomal RNA
Source: RNAcentral
GACGAACGCUGGCGGCGUGCUUAACACAUGCAAGUCGAGCGGUAAGGCCCUUUCGGGGGUACACGAGCGGCGAACGGGUGAGUAACACGUGGGUGACCUGCCCUCAGCUCUGGGGAUAAGCCUGGGAAACCGGGUCUAAUACCGGAUAUGACUCCAUGACGCAUGUUGUGGGGUGGAAAGCCUUGUGCGGCUGAGGAUGGGCCCGCGGCCUAUCAGCUUGUUGGUGGGGUGAUGGCCUACCAAGGCGACGACGGGUAGCCGGCCUGAGAGGGCGACCGGCCACACUGGGACUGAGACACGGCCCAGACUCCUACGGGAGGCAGCAGUGGGGAAUCUUGCGCAAUGGGCGAAAGCCUGACGCAGCGACGCCGCGUGAGGA